This is a long non-coding RNA of Leopardus geoffroyi (Geoffroy's cat), 949 nucleotides long. RefSeq lists it as uncharacterized. Lineage: Eukaryota; Metazoa; Chordata; Mammalia; Carnivora; Felidae. The record is from RefSeq and is a predicted model, not a curated record. The transcript is spliced from 2 exons.
CCUCUUUAAAUGCCACUGGAAGUUUUAGUUAGGGGAGAGACAUUCUUUGAUAUAUCUGCUGAAUAGAGAAUAGAUUGUAAACGAAAGCAAGAAUAAAUAUAGGGAGGAAUUUAACCUAGAGAAAACUGAAAAUGGCUUGAACUAAAGUGGUAGCAAUGGAGAUAGUGAAAGGUGGCUGGAUUUGGAAUAUGUUUCAGAGGUAGAAUCCACAGUGUCAGCUGAUGAAUGGCAUGUGGGGGUAGGGUAGAGAGCUGAAGGGAAUGAAGGAGACAAAUCAUGGAUAAAAGUAAAGGACCAAAGGCCCAAAGAAUCAAGAGUAAUAGGUGAGUGGUGGUGCUAUCAGGUGAGGUAGGAAAGUUGGCAGAGGAUCAGGUUUUGAGCUUGAAAGUAAAUUUCUGUGCUGGGCAUGUUAAAUUUGAAUGCCUAUUAAACAUGCUGGACACAUUAAGUGAACAGCUCACAGGUUUGCAAGUUGAUAAGUAGGUUUGAACACGGGGAAAGGUCAUGGUUGGAGGUGUAAAUUUGGGAAUGCUUAGCACCUAGAUUGUAUUCAGAGUCAUGAUAAUGGUAUUUAGAGUUCUGUAGCUACAUGAUAAUGCUUUUAGGGAGGGGAGAAAGACCCAAUAAAGAAGACUAUGAGAGAGAAACCAAUAGAAAAAACCAUGGAGUCCGAUGUCAUAGAAGCCAAGAAGUAUACUGACAGUAUCACCUUUGAAGAAUUGCAUUGUGACCCUUUCAAGACAAGAAUGAGAACUCUGCAGUUGACAACGUGGCCUGAGGGAAGAAAAAGAGAAGGACAAUUACCAGGAUGCGGGAGUAGCACAUGUACCACACCACAUCAUUCCAGACACUACAUUCGCCCUUCCCAAUACCUCAUUUCCACCCUGUAUGCAUACGAAUAUUUCUUUCAAAGAUGAUAAAGAAGAAGGUAGCUAUUUUUGAAAGCUGA